Molecule: ribosomal RNA, 850 nt
Filed under: Gammarus qiani
Lineage: Eukaryota; Metazoa; Arthropoda; Malacostraca; Amphipoda; Gammaridae
Description: partial 16S ribosomal RNA
Source: RNAcentral
UGAGUAAGAAAAUGUUGUUGUUGUACCUUUUGUAUCAGGGGGAUUUAAAAUUUAAUUUAGAAUAGACCGAAUCAACCAGAAUUUAUUUUAGUCUAUUAGUGGGAAUUAAUAGUUUAAGUUAGUAAGAGAUGAAAAGUCUACGGUGGUUGUUGUAUCUGAUUGUUUUGAUUAUUAAAAUAGAAAAGUAUUUUGAAAUUUAUGAGGUGCUGUUGAUAGAGAAAACUAGGCUUUGAAUUAGCUAUGUUGUUAUAUUGUUUUUAAAAAUUUUUUAUGCUAAAAAUGGGUAUAAAAUUAAUAGACUUUGUAUAGUAUUUAUUUUUGUGUUAAUAAUGAAUUUAUUGAAUUAGGAAUGGAACUUGAAAAUAACUCAUGUUGAUGCAGAAAGUUUAACAAAAACAUUUUUUUUUGUUAAAGUAAAAGUAAGACCUGCCCAAUGAAUUUUUAAUGGCUGCGGUAUUUUGACUGUGCUAAGGUAGCAUAAUCAUUUGCUUUUUAAUUGGGGGCUGGAAUGAAAGGUCAAACUGUAUUUGUUAGUUUGGUUAGUUAAAAAAUAAAUUUAAGUAAAGGUAAUAAUGCUUUUAUAACCUAAGGGACGAUAAGACCCUAGAAGCUUAAUAAUUGGGUAGUAAUAGUAAUACAAGUAAAAUUGAUUGACUGGGGUGGUAACAGUACUUAAACUAUUGUGUUAUUUAAAAGAUCCUUUAAUUAAAGAGAGAAUGUGAUAGUUACUCUAGGGAUAACAGCGUAAUAUUUUUGGAGAGAUCGUAUCGAUAAAAAUGUUUGCGACCUCGAUGUUGAAUUAAAAUAUCUAAGCGGAGUAGUAGAUGCUAGCAAGAAGGUUUGUUCAACC